Molecule: RNA transcript, 2716 nt
Organism: Magnolia sinica
Lineage: Eukaryota; Viridiplantae; Streptophyta; Magnoliopsida; Magnoliales; Magnoliaceae
Gene name: F-box/kelch-repeat protein At5g60570-like
Exons: 5
Source: RefSeq, a predicted model, not a curated record
CGUUGCAGAGAUCAAAGGGAAGCUUGUGGGCCGAGCUGGUGGAGAUGGCGUUGUGUAUGUGAGUGAUCGAGGGUUCCAUCCCUGUCUUGGUUCUUUUAAAACCUUACUGGUACCGAAAGAGAAAGCAAAUAAAAGAGAAGAAGAAGAGAGAGAAAUCUCAGCUCUCUCUCUCUCUCUAAAUGAGGUUUCUCAAAUGACUCGGAUCCGGAUCGGGAAAUCUCCUUUCGCCGGCGAGGUUUUCUGACGUCAUCCCCGGAAAAGCCGUCAGAUUCCGGCCUUCCAACGGAGGAGAUUCCCUUUCCCGGCUGCGAUCUUUCAAUUCCCUCUUGUGAUCAGAUUUUGGCUACCGGAUCUUUCCUCUUGGCGAGAUUUCCGCGGACUUCAGCAAAAUCUGGCGGAUUUGGGUUAAUGAACUGAGGAGAUCCCUUUUUCCGGCAGCGGGCUUUCAAUUCUUGCCUGAUCUUGCGGUUGUCAUCUGUUGGCUGGAUCUUUACUCUUUGGAAAGAUCUCUGCCAUUGUCUGCUGCAAUCGGGUGAAAUUUUGUUCGCGGGGAAGACAUUCCGGCAUUUGAUUUUGACCUUGUUUUACCGAUCGGGAUUUCUGGUGGAAAUCAGCUCGAUCCUAAAAAAGAAGUUGAUUUUCCUUUGAAACGGUAGCUCCAGGAAGAUUUCGGCUGUUAUCAGCUAAAGAAAAAGGAGAUAUUCCGGCCGAAAAUGGUGGGGAUUGUGGUUUCAGGUGGAAAAAUUGCGGACAUAUUGUAUUGAGGUGCUGCAUCCUUCGCUUGCCUCGGAUGCUGGGAUUCUGAUAUAGGAAUGGCACAAAUGUUCUACUAAGUGAAUGUUUUGGACUCUGAUUUAUGUCGAAGGAUCGAAAUGCUUUGGUGUUGAAAAUCGAUAAGUUUUGGUUGAAUACAGCAUUGCCUGCGUACAAUCACUCGGAUGUUCUUCAGCUGUUCCUUUGAGAAGCCAAAAAGGAAAAGGGAAGAGUCCGAUUGCAAAUCAGGAGCUAUGGUUAGUUCUCAAGGAUGUGUGCUUUCACAGGGCCUCACUCCCUUCAAUCGAGGGCAUGGAUCGUUUCAGACAAAUUGGUAUUUAUUAGCUUACAUGCUAGUAGCACAGAAUGGGAACUUGCUAAAAGACGUUAAAAAAAGCAUAUUUGACAGCGAAAUGUAUAUGACUAGUUGGGAACGUUUAGGGUUAAAGAAGAGAAAACCGGCACAUAAGACACAAUCUGGAGGCGAUUACGAUGGUCAAGCAUCAAAUGACUGUCUCCUCCCUGGUCUUCACGAUGACAUGGCACUAGAUUGCCUUGCCUGGACCUGUAGAUCGGAUUACCCCUCACUUUCUUGUCUGAGUAAAAGGUUCAAACAGUUAAUUGGUAGUGGAUAUCUUUACAAAUUAAGGAGACAGCUGGGAAUAGUCGAACAUUGGGUAUACUUAGCCUGCAGUUUAAUGCCUUGGGAAGCUUUCGAUCCUGUAAGACAGAGAUGGAUGAGGUUACCUAGGAUGCCGUGCGACGACUGUUUUUCUUCUGCGGACAAGGAGUCUCUUGCGGUAGGGACUCAAUUGCUUGUUUUCGGUCGAGAAUUAUCAGGAUUUGCAAUAUGGAUGUACAGCUUGGUAGCACGUGAUUGGUCUAGAUGCCCGCUGAUGAACAUACCACGCUGUCUGUUUGGUUCUAGCAGUCAUGGGGAAAUUGCUAUUGUUGCUGGGGGGAGUGAUAGGCAUGGCCAUGUUUUAAAAUCUGCUGAGCUGUACAAUUCUGAGAUGGGUUUUUGGGAAGCUUUGCCCGACAUGAACCUACCAAGGAAAUUGUGUUCUGGCUUUUUUAUGGAUGGGAAAUUCUAUGUCAUAGGAGGCAUGUCAAGUAAUGCAGAUUCUUUAACUUGUGGCGAGGAGUAUAACCUUGAGACAAGGACGUGGAGGAGGAUAAGAAAUAUGUAUCCACGUGGCAAUAGAGCAGCGCAGAGCCCUCCUCUGGUUGCUGUUGUAAAUAAUCAGCUUUAUGCUGCUGACGAAUCUACAAAUGAGGUUAAGAUAUAUGAUAAGAUAAAUAAUACGUGGAACGUUGUGAGGGCACUGCCGGUCAGGGCUGACUCCUAUAACGGUUGGGGUCUAGCGUUCAAGGCGUGCGGUGAUAAAUUAUUGGUGGUUGGUGGACGUAGAGGGCCUGAAGGUGAAGUUAUUGUGCUGCACUCUUGGGGUCCUGAGCGUGGUGGAGAACCCGAUUGGAAUGUGCUUGCUGUCAGGGAACGAGCGGGAGCUUUUGUAUACAACUGUGCAGUAAUGGGUUGCUGAUUCAUGCUUCAACAUGUUUGCGUUUUGGAUAAAUCCUCAAUCGAUGGAGAAAUCCAAUUGCUUCAUCGAAUUGCAGGAACUUGUGGGAAUGCCGUCAGAAUUGGAGAAGAAAAUAAGGAGAAGCUGAUUGGAUGGUGGGAGCUUGUGAGCUUGACCAAGGACUCCAAUAAUACUAGAAAAGGAGGUAGAACAAUCAGAGGUCUAGAGAAGAAGCUUGACUCAAGAAGAUGGGAGCUAAGGAAAGAGAUGCACCAUUUUGUUAUCUCUAAGGGCUUUUUGCCAAUCAAGUCUCAUAUCACAAAAACCAGAGCAUUCUUGUUCUCCUGAGGAAUUGUGUUUUUUGAGAUCUUUUGAUAAGUUUCAAGUGGUGUUUUUAAGAUCUAGAGAAAAUUUGGAAAAAUUCAAUUUUACUUUUGGCU